CUGGCCUUGUUCACAUGCUAUUCCUGGAGUUCGCGAGGGGUCUGGGAAUGUGGUGCUUCAGGCACAGCAAAAGGGUCAAUCUGUCUUUUAUGGGCUUGUGUUCCUCCAGCAGUGCCUUUUCCUCUUCCCUGAUAUAGGUUCUGUUCAUCAUCCUCUUCCAGAAGAGCCCUUUUUCAGCAUGGUUGAACCCUUGCUGACCGAUGUAUCUUUCUGCUUUCAUGAACUCCAUGAAUUCUUUCUUGCAGACUUCUGCAGCGGCCUUGUCAGAACUGGUAAAGAAGUCAAGAUUUUAGACUUCGCCAUCUAGUACUCUGAGUCCAGAUCAGUCACGUGAAUACCAUGCUCAUAAUUUUCUACAAUUUCCUUCUUCAAUUCAGUGGUUAUUUUCUUCAAAACCUUCGCAUCAUUCUUACUCUGCAUUCCUGUCACCUUCAUUACCACUCUGUGCUUUCUUUUUACCGCCAUGCUCACUCCGUACUUUCUCUGGAGCUAUGCUGGCUUGACCACCAUUAACUGUGCAGUACUGUAUGAGCUAAAAAGCACACAAAAACGCUUCCCAGCAAGGGCGCCCAGGUCUGUCUGCGCCUGUGAUCGGAACUAGAGGAAGCCACGCCCACACGUCAGAGCGGGAAGAUGGCGGCGCUCAGAGGAUGAUGGCCGCAGUCGUGUUCGUCUCUGACGAGGAGUUUGUGAGCGGAGGCAAACUUUUGCUGAACAUUUCUGUUCGUGAACCGAUUUGUUUGCAAACAGAAGCUUUCGAGAACUGAGCACAUUGCCCUGUGCCUGGCACGUUGCAGUAAAUCCGUACGGAGGGAAGCAGUCGGGCAGGCAAGCUGGCAGGGAGGCCUGGAGAAGUACGCACAGUCCCAGAAUCCACGAAGCAAGGCCAGGAGCCUGCAAGUGCAGGUGGAAAUUUUUCAAAUCCCAUGACGAGGGCAAUCGCAUCUACCAAAGCCGUUCUCACCAUGUGAUGCAUCCGCCAUGUUGUGACAGAGGCUGGCACCAUGCUGUUUGGACUUGCAAGCCAUUAGAAUCGUGUGAUCAAAACGAUGGUGAAUGCUGCCGCCGAGUGCCAUCCCACAGAAGGGCCGGCUCAGAACAACAUUACAGUGUGUCUUCAUCUUAUUCACUAGAUUUUGCAUCAUGCAACAUCCAGCUCCUUCUCCAAGUUAAAAUGAUCUGAUCAGGAAAGGUAAAUAUUUUCAAGAAGUUCAGGGCAUUGAGGCAGCCAUAUCAGCACAACUAAAGACACUUACAAAGGAGGACUUCCAGAGCUGCUUCAGAAAGUGGCAAAAAUGAUGGGAUGAGUGUGUCUGAAAUAAUAAGUCCCCCUUGAAGGGGACUAUUUUUGAGUCUCUUCUUGUAAUACAUUUUAAAAUUUUAAGCAUUCACUGUAAUUUCGGGGGACUGGGGAUAGAACUCAGCACCUUGCGCUUGCGAGGCAGACAGCUCACUGUAGUUUUUGAUCGUUCCAUUAUACAUAGAUGGAUGGCCAUGGGCUUGCAAGCUCAAGGGAGUGAUGUCACUCUCUCCAAAAGUGUCGGUCCACCCACAUAGAAGCUCUCUGGGAGCAGCAGAGUCCCAGGAAGCAGCUAGGGUGUGGGGAGAGCUAGGGUC
Fukomys damarensis (Damara mole-rat) is the source of this 1617-nucleotide long non-coding RNA. The record is from Ensembl. Lineage: Eukaryota; Metazoa; Chordata; Mammalia; Rodentia; Bathyergidae.